This 217-nucleotide unclassified non-coding RNA is filed under the name Hevea brasiliensis (rubber tree). Lineage: Eukaryota; Viridiplantae; Streptophyta; Magnoliopsida; Malpighiales; Euphorbiaceae. The record is from RNAcentral.
AUCAGAAGGAAAAUGUACCAGAGAGCAAUUCCACCCCAGAUGACUAUAUGCUGGAUUAAGGUAAAAUAACUGAUAGCAAGAGCCAUCUGGCAGUUGGCAACCCAAACAACACAGGUGUACAUGGUUGCUCCAACAACAGGAAAUUCAGCAAUUUUACCGUCUUCUUUAAAGGCUUGAGGAUCUAGUGCUGUUAUGCAGAAGAAGUAGAUUAUCACCG